GCGGGUCUAUACAUGCAGUCGAGCGAAUCGAUGGGAGCUUGCUCCCUGAGAUUAGCGGCGGACGGGUGAGUAACACGUGGGCAACCUGCCUAUAAGACUGGGAUAACUUCGGGAAACCGGAGCUAAUACCGGAUACGUUCUUUUCUCGCAUGAGAGAAGAUGGAAAGACGGUUUACGCUGUCACUUAUAGAUGGGCCCGCGGCGCAUUAGCUAGUUGGUGAGGUAAUGGCUCACCAAGGCGACGAUGCGUAGCCGACCUGAGAGGGUGAUCGGCCACACUGGGACUGAGACACGGCCCAGACUCCUACGGGAGGCAGCAGUAGGGAAUCUUCCGCAAUGGACGAAAGUCUGACGGAGCAACGCCGCGUGAACGAAGAAGGCCUUCGGGUCGUAAAGUUCUGUUGUUAGGGAAGAACAAGUACCAGAGUAACUGCUGGUACCUUGACGGUACCUAACCAGAAAGCCACGGCUAACUACGUGCCAGCAGCCGCGGUAAUACGUAGGUGGCAAGCGUUGUCCGGAAUUAUUGGGCGUAAGCGCGCGCAGGUGGUUCCUUAAGUCUGAUGUGAAAGCCCACGGCUCAACCGUGGAGGGUCAUUGGAAACUGGGGAACUUGAGUGCAGAAGAGGAAAGUGGAAUUCCAAGUGUAGCGGUGAAAUGCGUAGAGAUUUGGAGGAACACCAGUGGCGAAGGCGACUUUCUGGUCUGUAACUGACACUGAGGCGCGAAAGCGUGGGGAGCAAACAGGAUUAGAUACCCUGGUAGUCCACGCCGUAAACGAUGAGUGCUAAGUGUUAGAGGGUUUCCGCCCUUUAGUGCUGCAGCUAACGCAUUAAGCACUCCGCCUGGGGAGUACGGCCGCAAGGCUGAAACUCAAAGGAAUUGACGGGGGCCCGCACAAGCGGUGGAGCAUGUGGUUUAAUUCGAAGCAACGCGAAGAACCUUACCAGGUCUUGACAUCCUCUGACAACCCUAGAGAUAGGGCUUUCCCCUUCGGGGGACAGAGUGACAGGUGGUGCAUGGUUGUCGUCAGCUCGUGUCGUGAGAUGUUGGGUUAAGUCCCGCAACGAGCGCAACCCUUGAUCUUAGUUGCCAGCAUUCAGUUGGGCACUCUAAGGUGACUGCCGGUGACAAACCGGAGGAAGGUGGGGAUGACGUCAAAUCAUCAUGCCCCUUAUGACCUGGGCUACACACGUGCUACAAUGGAUGGUACAAAGGGCUGCAAACCUGCGAAGGUAAGCGAAUCCCAUAAAGCCAUUCUCAGUUCGGAUUGCAGGCUGCAACUCGCCUGCAUGAAGCCGGAAUCGCUAGUAAUCGCGGAUCAGCAUG
RNAcentral lists this ribosomal RNA (1329 nucleotides) under Bacillus sp. DU160(2010). Its description in RNAcentral is "bacterial SSU rRNA". It matches the Rfam family "Bacterial small subunit ribosomal RNA", at positions 42 to 1356 of the family's 1533-position model. Lineage: Bacteria; Bacillati; Bacillota; Bacilli; Caryophanales; Bacillaceae. The record is from RNAcentral.